Phascolarctos cinereus (koala) is the source of this 425-nucleotide non-coding RNA. The record is from RefSeq and is a predicted model, not a curated record. Lineage: Eukaryota; Metazoa; Chordata; Mammalia; Diprotodontia; Phascolarctidae.
CAAAGUCUCUGUGAGAGGGGUUAUUGAACAUGAGGAUUAUACUCAGUUUUGCUGGAGUAUGAAGGAAUGUGAAAGAGGCACCAUGCAAAAGAAAUCAGAAUUUAUAUUGCACAAAUGUCUUGCUACUAUGGAUGUCAUAUUCAUCAUAACAUAUUUGAAUCUGCCAUUGCUUAUGUGAAGAUAUCCACCAAAUACCAGAUUCAAUGAUCUCACAUUCAUUAUUGAAAGAUAGAUAUCUUUGUCCCAAUAGCCAAAGCACUGUCUUAUUGCAUUGAGUUUUUUGCCUCUGCUUAAAGCUUCUGUAACCCUCUGAGUUAUCAAUACUUUGGGAAUCAGAGGUGAGGGAAUUUCCCCAGUUCCUUUCCCAACCAGUCCCCUCAGACUUUCAGGAUGUAGUUGGCCAGAACGAUAUCAAUAAACUAAUU